RNAcentral lists this ribosomal RNA (253 nucleotides) under uncultured bacterium. Its description in RNAcentral is "partial 16S ribosomal RNA". It matches the Rfam family "Bacterial small subunit ribosomal RNA", at positions 524 to 776 of the family's 1533-position model. The record is from RNAcentral.
UACGUAGGGUGCAAGCGUUAAUCGGAAUUACUGGGCGUAAAGCGUGCGCAGGCGGCUUUGCAAGACAGAUGUGAAAUCCCCGGGCUUAACCUGGGAACUGCAUUUGUGACUGCAUGGCUGGAGUGCGGCAGAGGGGGAUGGAAUUCCGCGUGUAGCAGUGAAAUGCGUAGAUAUCGUAAGGAAGACCAGCGGCGAAGGCGAGUUCCUGGACAGUUACUGACGCUGAGGCACGAAGGCCAGGGGAGCAAACGGG